Molecule: long non-coding RNA, 396 nt
Organism: Thalassophryne amazonica
Lineage: Eukaryota; Metazoa; Chordata; Actinopteri; Batrachoidiformes; Batrachoididae
Exons: 3
Source: RefSeq, a predicted model, not a curated record
UUGUGUCACAUUUGAUAGCAUUUGUUUCGGUCAAAUACGGAAGCCGAUAGAGGCCCUUUUUGUAAUACUUUUUUAAUUCACCCUGUUAUCCCGAGAUAACGACAUAAUUAAUUCAGGAUCUCGAGAAAACAACACAACUAAUUCGAGAUCUCAAGAAAACAAAGCCUUUGUUUCGAGAUCUCGAGAAAACACAACAAUUAUGCCGUGAUCUUGAGAAAACAAAACAAUUAUUUCAUGAUCUCGAGUAAACAGCUGACAAAUGGGUCAUUCAAGUAGGCUACGCCAAGAGGCUUGUAUGAUGACUUCGGGGCUAUAUCUCAUUCUGUAUAGAUGCAACGCUGGUCUUUAGAAUGUCUGGAAUAAUCGAUCACCUAAUAAGGCAAUAUUUUGAUCAGG